Molecule: ribosomal RNA, 390 nt
Filed under: uncultured Lachnospiraceae bacterium
Lineage: Bacteria; Bacillati; Bacillota; Clostridia; Lachnospirales; Lachnospiraceae
Description: bacterial SSU rRNA
Rfam family: Bacterial small subunit ribosomal RNA
Source: RNAcentral
UGGGGAAUAUUGGACAAUGGGGAAACCCGUGAUCCAGCGACGCCGCGUGAGUGAAGAAGUAUUUCGGUAUGUAAAGCUCUAUCAGCAGGGAAGAUGAUGACGGUACCUGACUAAGAAGCCCCGGCUAACUACGUGCCAGCAGCCGCGGUAAUACGUAGGGGGCAAGCGUUAUCCGGAUUUACUGGGUGUAAAGGGAGCGUAGACGGUGAUGCAAGUCAGAUGUGAAAGCCCGGGGCUCAACCGCGGGACUGCAUUUGAAACUGUAUGACUGGAGUGCAGGAGAGGUAAGUGGAAUUCCUAGUGUAGCGGUGAAAUGCGUAGAUAUUAGGAGGAACACCAGUGGCGAAGGCGGCUUACUGGACGAUAACUGACGCUGAGGCUCGAAAGCGU